This 253-nucleotide ribosomal RNA is filed under the name uncultured bacterium. RNAcentral describes it as "partial 16S ribosomal RNA". It matches the Rfam family "Bacterial small subunit ribosomal RNA", at positions 524 to 776 of the family's 1533-position model. The record is from RNAcentral.
UACAGAGGUGGCAAGCGUUGUUCGGAAUUACUGGGCGUAAAGGGCGCGUAGGCGGCCCGAUAAGUCCCGCGUGAAAGCCCCCGGCUCAACUGGGGAACUGCGCGGGAAACUAUCGGGCUUGAGUUCGGGAGAGGGAAGCGGAAUUCCGGGUGUAGCGGUGAAAUGCGUAGAUAUCCGGAGGAACACCGGUGGCGAAGGCGGCUUCCUGGACCGACACUGACGCUGAGGCGCGAAAGCGUGGGGAGCAAACAGG